Molecule: small nucleolar RNA, 120 nt
Organism: Corylus avellana
Lineage: Eukaryota; Viridiplantae; Streptophyta; Magnoliopsida; Fagales; Betulaceae
Product: small nucleolar RNA snoR126
Source: RefSeq, a predicted model, not a curated record
AGGCUAUGAUGAUAAAUUACAUUUCUCGAUUCUGAGUUAUGUUGUUCGAUAGUGGACCAAGAGCAACUGCACGCAUGCGUGCUGCUCUCUGAUGACUGCGUUUGUGCGUGUCUGAGCCUU